GAUGAACGCUGGCGGCGUGCCUAAUACAUGCAAGUCGAGCGAACGGACGAGAAGCUUGCUUCUCUGAUGUUAGCGGCGGACGGGUGAGUAACACGUGGGUAACCUACCUAUAAGACUGGGAUAACUUCGGGAAACCGGAGCUAAUACCGGAUGAUAUUUUGAACCGCAUGGUUCAAAAGUGAAAGACGGUCUUGCUGUCACUUAUAGAUGGAUCCGCGCUGCAUUAGCUAGUUGGUAAGGCAACGGCUUACCAAGGCAACGAUGCAUAGCCGACCUGAGAGGGUGAUCGGCCACACUGGAACUGAGACACGGUCCAGACUCCUACGGGAGGCAGCAGUAGGGAAUCUUCCGCAAUGGGCGAAAGCCUGACGGAGCAACGCCGCGUGAGUGAUGAAGGUCUUCGGAUCGUAAAACUCUGUUAUUAGGGAAGAACAUAUGUGUAAGUAACUGUGCACAUCUUGACGGUACCUAAUCAGAAAGCCACGGCUAACUACGUG
Molecule: ribosomal RNA, 497 nt
Filed under: uncultured bacterium
Lineage: Bacteria
Description: partial 16S ribosomal RNA
Rfam family: Bacterial small subunit ribosomal RNA
Source: RNAcentral